UAGGGAAUCUUCGGCAAUGGACGAAAGUCUGACCGAGCAACGCCGCGUGAGUGAAGAAGGUUUUCGGAUCGUAAAACUCUGUUGGUAGAGAAGAACGUUGGUGAGAGUGGAAGGCUCAUCAAGUGACGGUAACUACCCAGAAAGGGACGGCUAACUACGUGCCAU
This 165-nucleotide ribosomal RNA is filed under the name uncultured bacterium. Its description in RNAcentral is "partial 16S rRNA". It matches the Rfam family "Bacterial small subunit ribosomal RNA", at positions 355 to 511 of the family's 1533-position model. The record is from RNAcentral.